CUGAUUGAUCCUGCCAGUAACAUGAUGCGUGUUUCAGCGAUACGUCUAGGCGUGUCUAAGUAGAAACCUUAAAAAAAUCAAACCGCGAAUAACUCAUCAAGUCAACUCUGGUUACUAAGGCCAUAUAUGCUAAAUGGACAAUUGGAGUAGUUCUACAGCUGAUACGUG
This 168-nucleotide non-coding RNA is filed under the name Trichobilharzia regenti. Its description in RNAcentral is "Eukaryotic small subunit ribosomal RNA". It matches the Rfam family "Eukaryotic small subunit ribosomal RNA", at positions 4 to 173 of the family's 1831-position model. The record is from Rfam by way of RNAcentral. Lineage: Eukaryota; Metazoa; Platyhelminthes; Trematoda; Strigeidida; Schistosomatidae.